This 152-nucleotide unclassified non-coding RNA is filed under the name uncultured Ascomycota. Its description in RNAcentral is "sequence contains ITS1". The record is from RNAcentral. Lineage: Eukaryota; Fungi; Ascomycota.
CCUGGCCUAGGCCGCUGCUUGUCGGCGUGCCGCUCGUGCCUAUUACCUUGACUAUGCGCACCUUUGUUGUUCCCUCGGCAGUCCGCUGCCGCCAGGGACCCCUUAAACCCUUAUGUAAUACAGUAUACUUCUGAAAACAACCUAAUUAUUUA